GGGGAUGUAACUCAAAUGGUAGAUCGCUUGCUCUGCAUGCGAGAGGUACAAGGUUUGAUCCUUGCAUCUCCA
Molecule: transfer RNA, 72 nt
Filed under: Jatropha curcas
Lineage: Eukaryota; Viridiplantae; Streptophyta; Magnoliopsida; Malpighiales; Euphorbiaceae
Rfam family: tRNA
About the family: Transfer RNA (tRNA) molecules are approximately 80 nucleotides in length.
Source: Rfam by way of RNAcentral